This is a non-coding RNA of Coturnix japonica (Japanese quail), 188 nucleotides long. NCBI's taxonomy places the organism in Eukaryota, Metazoa, Chordata, Aves, Galliformes, Phasianidae. The record is from RefSeq and is a predicted model, not a curated record.
GUUCCAGAAUGUCCAGUUGCCCCUCUAAAUGGAGCAGCUUGGCCUUUCCUGGGGGACCAAGGCACUUCUCCAGAAGGACUGCAGCCCGUGAACCUGGACUUCAAACAACAAAUGUGCCGAGCUCACAUGAACUUGAAGUUGCCCUUUUCUUUGUGACAUCCAUAAACAUUUAUGAAGCUUUGUUUUUA